CAGAGAGAAAGAAUACCAGAGUAAAAGGGGAGACACAGAAAGGAGCAGUGCGGAGAAAGGAGGAAAGUGAGAGGGGAGUGAGAAGGAAGAGAAGAGGGGAGAAAGAAAAGAGAACACGGAGCAGGAAGUGGGACCAGUGGGGGAAACCUGCUGAAUCGCCUAAAACCAGCUGGAGCAGGCUGAAGGACUCUCCGACGACCUCCUCCUGAACGGAUACCCUUGUUAUCAUACUUGAACAUGCCGAUGUAUGUAGAACCAUGUUUCCUGACUUUGAAUGCCCCGGACUGUCACCACCUAUACAUGCAAUUACAAAGUCUACUUCGAUGUUUAUGCAUGACUUCCCCUAAUAAAGAUGGCUUAGACACUUUGUUCAGGGACACAUGCUCUGGGAAUGAUCCUGGUGUGUCCUUGCUCGCUGGCUUGCAAUAAAGUUCCUUUUCUUAAAAUCA
Myotis myotis is the source of this 449-nucleotide long non-coding RNA. RefSeq lists it as uncharacterized. The transcript is spliced from 2 exons. NCBI's taxonomy places the organism in Eukaryota, Metazoa, Chordata, Mammalia, Chiroptera, Vespertilionidae. The record is from RefSeq and is a predicted model, not a curated record.